This 920-nucleotide ribosomal RNA is filed under the name Thermococcus sp. TP-33. RNAcentral describes it as "bacterial SSU rRNA". It matches the Rfam family "Archaeal small subunit ribosomal RNA", at positions 59 to 975 of the family's 1478-position model. Lineage: Archaea; Methanobacteriati; Methanobacteriota; Thermococci; Thermococcales; Thermococcaceae. The record is from RNAcentral.
CAUGGGGCGCCUCGCGCGCACCGGCGGACGGCUCAGUAACACGUCGGUAACCUACCCUCGGGAGGCGGAUAACCCCGGGAAAACUGGGGCUAAUCCCCCAUAGGUCUGAGGUACUGGAAGGUCCUCGGGCCGAAAGGGACUCUGUCCGCCCGAGGAUGGGCCGGCGGCCGAUUAGGUAGUUGGUGGGCUAACGGCCCACCAAGCCUAAGAUCGGUACGGGACAUGAGAGUGAGAGCCCGGAGAUGGACAGUGAGACAAGGGUCCAGGCCCUACGGGGCGCAGCAGCCGCGAAACCUCCGCAAUGCGGGAAACCGCGACGGUGGGACCCCCAGUGCCGUGGCAAUGCCACGGCUUUUCCGGAGUGUAAGGAGCUCCGGGAAUAAGGCUGGGCAAAGCCGGUGGCAGCCGCCGCCGUAAUACCGGCGGCCCGAGUGGUGGCCACUAUUAUUUGGGCCUAAAGCGUCCGUAGCCGGGCCCGUAAGUCUCUGACGAAAUCUCACGGCUCAACCGUGGGGCUCGCUGGGGAUACUGCGGGCCUUGGGACCGGGAGAGCCGGAUGGUACCCCUGGCGUAAGGGUGAAAUCCUAUAAUCCCAGGCAGACCGCCAGUGGCGAAGGCGCUCCGCUGGAACGGGUCCGACGGUGANNGACGAAGGCCAGUGGAGCAAACCGGAUUAGAUACCCGCGUAGUCCUGGCUGUAAAGGACGUGGGCUAGGUGUCGGGUGAGCUUCGGGCUCGCCCGGUGCCCGAGGGAAGCCGUUAAGCCCGCCGCCUCGGGAGUACGGCCGCAAGGCUGAAACUUAAAGGAAUUGGCGGGGGAGCACCACAAGGCGUGGAGCGUGCGGUUNAAUUGGAUUCAACGCCGGGAACCUCACCGGGGGCGACGGCAGGAUGAAGGCCAGGCUGAAGGUCUUGCCGGA